Molecule: transfer RNA, 53 nt
Filed under: Mesocricetus auratus (golden hamster)
Lineage: Eukaryota; Metazoa; Chordata; Mammalia; Rodentia; Cricetidae
Source: Rfam by way of RNAcentral
GGGGGUAUAGCUCAGUGGUAGAGUAUUUGACUUCAGAGCAACAUGUAUUUCCA